RNAcentral lists this transfer RNA (75 nucleotides) under Desulfallas sp. Bu1-1. RNAcentral's name for it is "tRNA-Cys". It matches the Rfam family "tRNA". Rfam says of the family: Transfer RNA (tRNA) molecules are approximately 80 nucleotides in length. Their secondary structure includes four short double-helical elements and three loops (D, anti-codon, and T loops). The record is from RNAcentral. Lineage: Bacteria; Bacillati; Bacillota; Clostridia; Eubacteriales; Desulfallaceae.
GGCGACAUAGCCAAGUGGUAAGGCAGAGGACUGCAAAUCCUUUACUCCCCGGUUCGAAUCCGGGUGUCGCCUCCA